GGAAGGGGUGUAUUUAUUAGAUAAAAAACCAAUGCCCUCUGGGCUCCUUGGUGAUUCAUAAUAACUAAACGAAUCGCAUGGCCUUGCGCCGGCGAUGGUUCAUUCAAAUUUCUGCCCUAUCAACUUUCGAUGGUAGAAUAGUGGUCUACCAUGGUCUUAACGGGUAACGGGGAAUUAGGGUUCGACUCCGGAGAGGGAGCCUGAGAAACGGCUACCACAUCCAAGGAAGGCAGCAGGCGCGCAAAUUACCCAAUGCUAAUUCAGCGAGGUAGUGACAAUAAAUACUGAUACGGGGCUCUUUCGGGUCUCGUAAUUGGAAUGAGUACAAUCUAAAUCCCUUAACGAGGAACAAUUGGAGGGCAAGUCUGGUGCCAGCAGCCGCGGUAAUUCCAGCUCCAAUAGCGUAUAUUAAAGUUGUCGCCGUUAAAAAGCUCGUAGUUGAACCUUGGACCUGGCUGAUCUGUCCUCCUAAUCGAGCGCACGGAUUCGGUCGGGUCUUUCCUUCUGGGGAGCCCUAUGCCCUUCACUGGGUGUAGUGGGGAACCAGGACUUUUAC
Molecule: ribosomal RNA, 556 nt
Filed under: uncultured fungus
Lineage: Eukaryota; Fungi
Description: SSU rRNA
Rfam family: Eukaryotic small subunit ribosomal RNA
Source: RNAcentral